RNAcentral lists this ribosomal RNA (406 nucleotides) under uncultured bacterium. RNAcentral's name for it is "partial 16S ribosomal RNA". It matches the Rfam family "Bacterial small subunit ribosomal RNA", at positions 30 to 526 of the family's 1533-position model. The record is from RNAcentral.
AUUGAACGCUGGCGGCAGGCCUAACACAUGCAAGUCGAACGACUGGCGGACGGGUGAGUAAUGUCAGGGAAAAUGCCUGCUGGAGAGGGAUAACUACUGUAAACGGUAGCUAAUACCGCAUACCCUCGGAUGUGCCCAGAGGGGAUUAGCUAGUAGGUGGGGUAAAGUAUCACAUAGGCGACGAUCCCUAGCUGGUCUGAGAGGGUGACCAGCAACACUGGAACGGAGACACGGUCCAGAGUCCUACGGGAGGCAGCAGUGGGGAAUAUUGCACAAUGGGCGCAAGCCUGAUGCAGCCAUGCCGCGUGUAUGAAGAAGGCCUUCGGGUUGUAAAGUACGUUCAGCGGGGAGGCGUUACCCGCAGAAGAAGCACCGGCUAACUCCGUGCCAGCCGCCGCGGUAAGUC